CAGCCGCCGCGGUAAUACGGAGGGUGCGAGCGUUAAUCGGAAUUACUGGGCGUAAAGGGCGCGUAGGAGGUUCGCCAAGUUGGAUGUGAAAUCCCCGGGCUCAACCUGGGAACUGCAUCCAAAACUGGCGAGCUAGAGUAUGGUAGAGGGUGGUGGAAUUUCCUGUGUAGCGGUGAAAUGCGUAGAUAUAGGAAGGAACAUCAGUGGCGAAGGCGACCACCUGGACUGAUACUGACACUGAGGUGCGAAAGCGUGGGGAGCAAACAGGAUUAGAUACCCCUGUAGUCCCUGUCUCUUAUAC
Molecule: ribosomal RNA, 301 nt
Filed under: uncultured bacterium
Lineage: Bacteria
Description: partial 16S ribosomal RNA
Rfam family: Bacterial small subunit ribosomal RNA
Source: RNAcentral